UUUUUCCUACGGGGGGCAGCAGUGGGGAAUAUUGCACAAUGGGCGCAAGCCUGAUGCAGCGACGCCGCGUGCGGGAUGGAGGCUUUCGGGUUGUAAACCGCUUUUGUUCAAGGGCAAGGCACGGUCUUUGGCCGUGUUGAGUGGAUUGUUCGUAUAAGCACCGGCUAACUACGUGCCAGCAGCCGCGGUAAUACGUCGGAUGCAAGCGUCAUCCGGAUUUAUUGGGCGUAAAGGGCUCGUAGGAGGUUCGUCGCGUCCGGUGUGAUAGUCCAUCGCUUAACGGUGGAU
Molecule: ribosomal RNA, 288 nt
Filed under: uncultured bacterium
Lineage: Bacteria
Description: partial 16S ribosomal RNA
Rfam family: Bacterial small subunit ribosomal RNA
Source: RNAcentral